AUUGAACGCUGGCGGCAGGCCUAACACAUGCAAGUCGAGCGGUAGCACAGAGAGCUUGCUCUCGGGUGACGAGCGGCGGACGGGUGAGUAAUGUCUGGGAAACUGCCUGAUGGAGGGGGAUAACUACUGGAAACGGUAGCUAAUACCGCAUAAUGUCGCAAGACCAAAGUGGGGGACCUUCGGGCCUCAUGCCAUCAGAUGUGCCCAGAUGGGAUUAGCUAGUAGGUGGGGUAAUGGCUCACCUAGGCGACGAUCCCUAGCUGGUCUGAGAGGAUGACCAGCCACACUGGAACUGAGACACGGUCCAGACUCCUACGGGAGGCAGCAGUGGGGAAUAUUGCACAAUGGGCGCAAGCCUGAUGCAGCCAUGCCGCGUGUGUGAAGAAGGCCUUCGGGUUGUAAAGCACUUUCAGCGGGGAGGAAGGCGAUAAGGUUAAUAACCUUGUCGAUUGACGUUACCCGCAGAAGAAGCACCGGCUAACUCCGUGCCAGCAGCCGCGGUAAUACGGAGGGUGCAAGCGUUAAUCGGAAUUACUGGGCGUAAAGCGCACGCAGGCGGUCUGUCAAGUCGGAUGUGAAAUCCCCGGGCUCAACCUGGGAACUGCAUUCGAAACUGGCAGGCUAGAGUCUUGUAGAGGGGGGUAGAAUUCCAGGUGUAGCGGUGAAAUGCGUAGAGAUCUGGAGGAAUACCGGUGGCGAAGGCGGCCCCCUGGACAAAGACUGACGCUCAGGUGCGAAAGCGUGGGGAGCAAACAGGAUUAGAUACCCUGGUAGUCCACGCCGUAAACGAUGUCGAUUUGGAGGUUGUGCCCUUGAGGCGUGGCUUCCGGAGCUAACGCGUUAAAUCGACCGCCUGGGGAGUACGGCCGCAAGGUUAAAACUCAAAUGAAUUGACGGGGGCCCGCACAAGCGGUGGAGCAUGUGGUUUAAUUCGAUGCAACGCGAAGAACCUUACCUGGUCUUGACAUCCACAGAACUUAGCAGAGAUGCUUUGGUGCCUUCGGGAACUGUGAGACAGGUGCUGCAUGGCUGUCGUCAGCUCGUGUUGUGAAAUGUUGGGUUAAGUCCCGCAACGAGCGCAACCCUUAUCCUUUGUUGCCAGCGGUUAGGCCGGGAACUCAAAGGAGACUGCCAGUGAUAAACUGGAGGAAGGUGGGGAUGACGUCAAGUCAUCAUGGCCCUUACGACCAGGGCUACACACGUGCUACAAUGGCAUAUACAAAGAGAAGCGACCUCGCGAGAGCAAGCGGACCUCAUAAAGUAUGUCGUAGUCCGGAUUGGAGUCUGCAACUCGACUCCAUGAAGUCGGAAUCGCUAGUAAUCGUAGAUCAGAAUGCUACGGUGAAUACGUUCCCGGGCCUUGUACACACCGCCCGUCACACCAUGGGAGUGGGUUGCAAAAGAAGUAGGUAGCUUAACCUUCGGGAGGGCGCUUACCACUUUGUGAUUCAUGACUGGGGUGA
Molecule: ribosomal RNA, 1463 nt
Filed under: uncultured Klebsiella sp.
Lineage: Bacteria; Pseudomonadati; Pseudomonadota; Gammaproteobacteria; Enterobacterales; Enterobacteriaceae
Description: bacterial SSU rRNA
Rfam family: Bacterial small subunit ribosomal RNA
Source: RNAcentral